ACUCAAAUGAAUUGACGGGGGCCCGCACAAGCAGCGGAGCGUGUGGUUUAAUUCGACGCAACGCGCAACACCUUACCAAGGUUUGACAUCCUCGGAACCGGGCUGAAAGGUCUGGGUGCCUGCAAGGGAGCCGAGAGACAGGUGCUGCAUGGCUGUCGUCAGCUCGUGUCGUGAGAUGUUGGGUUAAGUCCCGCAACGAGCGCAACCCCCGUGGCUAGUUACCCUGUGUCUAGCCAGACUGCCGGGACCAAACCGGAGGAAGGUGGGGAUGACGUCAAGUCAGCAUGGCCCUUACACCUUGGGCGACACACACGCUACAAUGGCCGGGACAGUGGGCAGCCAAGCGGUAACGCGGAGCCAAUCCCCCAAACCCGGUCUCAGUUCAGAUCGUGGGCUGCAACUCGCCCACGUGAAGGCGGAGUUGCUAGUAACCGCGGGUCAGCAGUACCGCGGUGAAUAUGUUCCCGGGCCUUGUACACACCGCCCGU
This 488-nucleotide ribosomal RNA is filed under the name uncultured bacterium. RNAcentral's name for it is "partial 16S ribosomal RNA". It matches the Rfam family "Bacterial small subunit ribosomal RNA", at positions 899 to 1397 of the family's 1533-position model. The record is from RNAcentral.